Molecule: long non-coding RNA, 1161 nt
Organism: Athalia rosae (coleseed sawfly)
Lineage: Eukaryota; Metazoa; Arthropoda; Insecta; Hymenoptera; Athaliidae
Exons: 4
Source: RefSeq, a predicted model, not a curated record
UCUACCUACUCACUUCGUAGUUUUAGGAGGUUACAUAAUAAAAUUUCAAUAUUAUACCUCGACCUCCUACCACGUCGCAUGUUAUCACAAAUAUAUACGUAUUCCAAAUUAGAAAGCGAUAGAGAAAAAAGAAAAGAAAUUAAAUUCACACGUAUUCGAUCGAACCAUCGAAACGACCUUUUUUUUCGCGAUGUUUCAUUUUAUUUCCAACAGAAUUUCGAGCGCGCAUCAUCUUUUGUCGCGUAUGUUCGGACGCUGAAAAACGUCUGAGGGGAAAAAAAAUGAGAGAAAGCAAAAAUUAAAGAAAAAUUAAAGAAACGGAAAUCGGAGACAGGAUAUGAUGCGUGAGUCUCCAUCGACACGAUCCGAAUGAAUAAAAAGAGCGGCGGGGAACGUCGGAAAAAAAUAAGAGGAAUGAAAAAAAAAAACUAAAUGGAAACAAAAAGGAAAUGAAGAGGAAUGAAAAAGAAAGGAGAGUAAAGAUCGAAAGAAACGAAAGAAAAAAAAAAAAAAUGCGGAAAACUUGUAUUACGUGGGUUGGUUUAUAAAUAGUUAGACGUAGGAUCGUCACGAGGUCGGUUGAGGAGACUAGAGAUGAACCGAAAGUAUACGCGAUGUAAAAUAUGGUUGUGCACAAUUUCGUUGAGACAAAAGUGACGAGCGAAACGAAAAAGUAAAAGAGAUAUAAAAAAAAUAAUCUACAUCUACGGGUGAUCCUGACGAAUAUCUGUGAGAUGAUUUUGUGGUCGUAGUCGCCGAGAAUCGAGUUACCCGGUUACGAUUCUAUAUAUACGUACGUACGUACGUACGUACACGCGAAUCGUCCGUGAUGUUCGAACGUGAAGUGGACCCAGGAAGACCGGAGACCGCACGAGCGACCAGACCACGAUUCUUCUUUUUUCUCCAUAAGAAGAACGCUGCCAAUUAGUCGUAAAAUGAUAAAUGAAAAAUAAAGAAGAUAAAAAAAAAAUAACUUCACAAAAGGGGACGGAGGAAGUGCAAUGACGUUCGCAUCUGGUUACAGUCACCCUCAACAUCGGCGAAUUCCGACGGAAGACUCGCGCGCUGCACGUGGAGAGGGAGAGACGCACAUCUCAUACGCCAGAUUUCACGAUGUCCAUAAAAUACGCAAUGAUCAUAAAAAGCCAGAACAAUAACGAA